This 333-nucleotide ribosomal RNA is filed under the name Acinetobacter baumannii. RNAcentral's name for it is "bacterial SSU rRNA". It matches the Rfam family "Bacterial small subunit ribosomal RNA", at positions 109 to 445 of the family's 1533-position model. The record is from RNAcentral. Lineage: Bacteria; Pseudomonadati; Pseudomonadota; Gammaproteobacteria; Moraxellales; Moraxellaceae.
AGUAAUGCUUAGGAAUCUGCCUAUUAGUGGGGGACAACAUCUCGAAAGGGAUGCUAAUACCGCAUACGUCCUACGGGAGAAAGCAGGGGAUCUUCGGACCUUGCGCUAAUAGAUGAGCCUAAGUCGGAUUAGCUAGUUGGUGGGGUAAAGGCCUACCAAGGCGACGAUCUGUAGCGGGUCUGAGAGGAUGAUCCGCCACACUGGGACUGAGACACGGCCCAGACUCCUACGGGAGGCAGCAGUGGGGAAUAUUGGACAAUGGGGGGAACCCUGAUCCAGCCAUGCCGCGUGUGUGAAGAAGGCCUUAUGGUUGUAAAGCACUUUAAGCGAGGA